AAGUUUCAGCCUGCGGCCGUACUUCCCAGGUGGCUCGCUUCACGGCUUCCCUACGGCACCGACAACGGUCGCACCGUGGCCGACACCUAGCGAGUAUCGUUUACGGCUAGGACUACCCGGGUAUCUAAUCCGGUUCGUGCCCCUAGCUUUCGUCCCUUGCCGUCAGGUCCGUUCUGGUGAGACGCCUUCGCCACUGGUGGUCCUUCAAGGAUUACAAGAUUUCACCCCUACCCCUGAAGUACCUCUCACCUCUCCCGGCCUCGAGCCGAACAGUAUCUCCUGAAAGCCCAACAGUUGAGCUGCUGGAUUUCUCAAGAGACUUAUCCGGCCGGCUACAGACCCUUUAGACCCAAUAAUAACGGUUACCACUCGAGCCGCCGGUGUUACCGCGGCGGCUGGCACCGGUCUUGCCCGGCCCUUGCUAUGCAAUGCUUUUUAUGCAUCACGACAGCCAGAUUUGUAACCUGGCACUCGAGGUCCCCUUAUCGCCUUUGCCGGCAUUGUAAAGUUUU
RNAcentral lists this ribosomal RNA (512 nucleotides) under uncultured archaeon. RNAcentral describes it as "partial 16S ribosomal RNA". The record is from RNAcentral.